UGGGAACCUUCACUAUGGUUCGGAAUAGCUCAGGGAAACUUGGGGUAAUACCGGAUAAGCCCUUCGGGGGAAAGAUUUAUCGCCAUUGGAUGGGCCCGCGUCGGAUUAGCUAGUUGGUGAGGUAACGGCUCACCAAGGCAACGACGGGUAGCCGGCCUGAGAGGGUGACCGGCCACACUGGGACUGAGACACGGCCCAGACUCCUACGGGAGCAG
This 215-nucleotide ribosomal RNA is filed under the name uncultured bacterium. RNAcentral describes it as "partial 16S ribosomal RNA". It matches the Rfam family "Bacterial small subunit ribosomal RNA", at positions 118 to 347 of the family's 1533-position model. The record is from RNAcentral.